GAUGAAGAACGCAGUGAAAUGCGAUAAGUAAUGUGAAUUGCAGAAUUCAGUGAAUCAUCGAAUCUUUGAACGCACAUUGCGCCCGCUAGUAUUCUGGCGGGCAUGCCUGUACGAGCGUCAUUUCAACCAUCAAGCCCUGUUUAGGCUUGUGUUGGGGUCCUGCGGUUGCCGCAGCCCCCUAAAUGCAGUGGCGGGCUCGUUGUCACUCCGAGCGCAGUAGCGUAUCUCGCUCUGGGCGUGGCGGCGGGUGCUAGCCGUGAAACACCCACUAAGGUUGACCUCGGAUCAGGUAGGAAUACCCGCUGAACUUAAGCAUAUCAAUAAGCGGAGGA
This 332-nucleotide unclassified non-coding RNA is filed under the name soil metagenome. RNAcentral's name for it is "partial contains 5.8S ribosomal RNA, internal transcribed spacer 2, and large subunit ribosomal RNA". The stretch from base 1 to 120 matches the Rfam family "5.8S ribosomal RNA", at positions 35 to 154 of the family's 154-position model. The record is from RNAcentral.